AUAUCAAUAAGCGGAGGAAAAGAAACUAACAAGGAUUCCCUCAGUAACGGCGAGUGAAGCGGGAAGAGCUCAAUUUUGAAAUCUCCAAGGGCGACCUUGGCGUCCGCGUUGUAAUCUCGAGACGUGUUUUCCGUGCGGCUCUAUGGACAAGUCCCUUGGAACAGGGCAUCGUAGAGGGUGAAAAUCCCGUACUUGCCAUGGAAGUACCGUGCUUUGUGAUACACGCUCCAAGAGUCGAGUAGUUUGGGAUUGCUGCUCAAAGUGGGUGGUAGACUCCAUCUAAAGCUAAAUAUCGGGGAGAGACCGAUAGCGAACAAGUA
Molecule: ribosomal RNA, 320 nt
Filed under: Malassezia sp.
Lineage: Eukaryota; Fungi; Basidiomycota; Malasseziomycetes; Malasseziales; Malasseziaceae
Description: partial large subunit ribosomal RNA
Rfam family: Eukaryotic large subunit ribosomal RNA
Source: RNAcentral